ACCCCACUCCUGGCACCC
Molecule: microRNA, 18 nt
Filed under: Gallus gallus (chicken)
Lineage: Eukaryota; Metazoa; Chordata; Aves; Galliformes; Phasianidae
Description: microRNA Ros-gga
Source: RNAcentral